RNAcentral lists this long non-coding RNA (3380 nucleotides) under Triticum aestivum (bread wheat). RNAcentral describes it as "long non-coding RNA (TAES_LNC018264)". The record is from RNAcentral. Lineage: Eukaryota; Viridiplantae; Streptophyta; Magnoliopsida; Poales; Poaceae.
GUCGGUGCUCCAAUCCGGUGGAGGGGUGGCGGCGGAGGUGCAGGCCCAAAACACUACCCAGAAGGAGGCGCCCCGGAUGAGCAACACACUCGUGUUCCUCCCGCUCAUGGAGGACGCGCUCUCGGUCGCCGGCGGUUUCGUUCUGUCUAUGGCGAUGGGUUGCCUCUUCUUCUCCAUUCGUGUGGUCAGGUUUGUUCUUCUUCCAUCAUGUUCCUUCUUUUGUCUCGUCACAAGCACAUGCCACGGAGGCUAAACUCUUUUGGCAACCGAUUGAAAAAACAGCUGGAAGAGAGCUUCAUUAGAUCUGUCUACUCCUGUAUUUUCAGUUACCUGUGUGACUGGAAAAGUACACUAUAUGUUACUAUGCUAUAUUUCUUAAGUUAUGUAUAGAACCUCUACCUAUAUACUUGGAUCACCGGAUUGUUCAAUUCUUUUUAUGCAACAAAACUACAGAAUUAGUACUUAUCAUUGCAGUGUCGUGUUCUGUGUAUACCAAUAUCUCUACCACUAUAAUACACCAGUCUUGAAUUUGGAUUCACCACCCCACUUGUUUUUUAGUCCGCUUGGGUACUGAUCACCUGAACUAAUGAACUAAUAGCCAAGAUACAGUGCAGAGAGUAAACUUGCCGGGUGAUACAUGAGAGCAUUUAUAUAAUGGUUGGUUCUAUCAAGUUUUUUACCGAUUUAUACUGAAUUAAACAUGUUGAUAUGGCGAUAGGGUCUCCAGUGUACAUGAUUAUCGAUUAAAUUUGUAUAUAAACUUCUUCCAGUUUGUUCAAUUGUAAGCCUAGUGAUGUAACAAUGAACGCUAAUUGUAUUGUUCUGCUCUUGGUUAGUACAAGAAAUGCUUGAGUUGUCAAUCAGGAAGAACUUCUAUUCUUCAAGCAAGAACUCUAGACUGGGCUUUCAAAUAAGUUGGACUGUAGAUAAUGUCCAGAUUUGUGAUCAUUGAUGCUUGUGCUUUCUUCUUCAUGUUCUGGUGAGGAAGAAGGGAAAACGCUGGAGCCAAUAGAUGUUUAGUGGGACUAUGUUCUCAAUUCACAAAGCUAAAGGAAGCACAUGCCAUCUAUCUCUCAUAUUGGUUAUUUGGAUCCUGAGAAAUCACCAUGCCUAGCUUAAAUUUAUUGACAUUAGCUUGUUCUGAUAAAAAAAUCAAUGCAAGGAAGGAAACAGAAUAUGGGGAUUGCAACUAUAGAAUGGUGAUUAGAUAUUCUUGAUAGAGAGGCAUAGGUUUCUAAUGUCAGUCUUUGAUAGAGUUCACAUAUGGCUGCAGUUUUUGCGACUACGGAAUUGUGAUAGGAUAUUCUUGAGUAUUUAGUUCUUCAGUACUGUUAAUUGAACAUACACUGGAAGUCAAAUUUCCAGGUAUGUACUAACCUUCCAGUAAUCAGGAGUAUGCAGUUAUGUAUUAAUACCUAUUGGAAACUCCUAUCUUACUGAUGACUCUCCCUUAUAGGUAAAUCUGAUCAAGACUACUAGAUGAUCCAAAUGGAGGAUUAUUUCACUUUCAGACCCACUUUGUAAUUGUACAUCAUUGUCUUACCACAGAAGUUUAGAUGGACAUAGUAUCCAGGAUACCAACUAUUUGGAACUCCUCUCUACAAAAAAAGGCUUAAGGGGAUUGGUAACUGGAGUUCAGACCAUAAAAUUAUUCCAAUUCCCAUGCCUACAGUAUUGUAUACACAGAUUUCAGAGAGGAAUAGGUACCACUUUUUCCUCAACAUUUAGUUAUCCAUACAAGAGUAAUUAAUGCCUAUGCUAAGUUGUUAUUUUUUUAUACAUGAUUUUUUUAUCAUAGAUGGAUAGAUGAGCAAUGGACCAUUAAAGUUGCUUUCAUUGGUUCUCUUAGGGACCAUUGCAAAAGGUGUUUUUGUUUGGAUAAAGGUCAUCGAGCUAAGGUAAGCUCUCCAUAGACUGGAACAUUAUCAUGUCCUCGUCGGCGAGGAAGCCAGGUGACCUUCUCAUCCAAUGUCUUUCCCUCCUUAUCCCUUUCUCCUAUCGCAGUUCCCUCUCAAUGCGUUAGUUUCUUUCGUCGUCGCUAGGUUCCCAUGGCACUCUGCCACGCUCGCUUCAGUAGCUCGUUGAUUAAGAGGUAUGAGUGGGUGGCCAGCUGCAAUGUCUAGAUGGAAGACCUCUCCUGUUCAGAUUUAUUUUGGGUUCUUGAUUCCUUUUUCCCAAUGGUUAUAUGUAAUUAGUACAACAUUAGGAAAAAAUUAUACCAUGUUUGUGGCUGGAUGCAUUGAGUUGUUGGAAUUGUUGUAUUAGAAGUGCACUCUUGAUUGCCUUACCAAUGGUCCAAAAGAAUUGCACAACCGGUGAAAUUGACCGUGGUUUUAAUGUACUUUUGUUACAAUAUAGUUUUUUUAGGAGCAAAGGACAGUUGGAGAGAUCUCCCACUGACUUGUAACUAUAAAAAGAAGGACGUCAGUGACAUUUACAAUAUACUAGAGUAUAUUUCAUUAUUUCCCAGUUUGGACAUACUUCUAUUGGUUUGCUUCUCAUAAAUAUUAUCAUGCAUGUAUCAGCUGGUGAUUGUGUGAUAGUGGCGUGCUCUCAUAAAUAUUAUGUGUUUCCAGGAAGAUAAAUCCUUUCCGAAUAGGGACUAGGUUGGUUACUUCUUCUGUAAUUAUAUGUUUUAGUGAUAGCUGCUUGAUUAAAUGGUUCCAUCUGUUUCUUAUUCUUGUCAUCUAACGUAGAUAAAUAGAUUAUAUGCUUUUGUGCUGAAUUACGUGGAAGGUCGAGAUGACCGCACAUACGAAUUUAUUUAUGUUUAUUAUCGCAUGGAUGCCUACUGACCCAAAAUAUUUUUGUUUAAAAUGUUUUCCUAUGAAGUUUCUAUACUAUAUAAGAAAGUUGGUCUCAACUAUUUGAGGUCAUAUUCUAUUUUAAAGAUUACUCAUAUAGUUUCAUAGCUGAUUCAGUUGCAUUCGUUGAGAACAGGUGUUUGUAUCAAUCUUGUUUUUCAGGUUACUUGUAUUACAUAUUGAUGGAUUUCUUGCAGGCUUGUACGCCAGAUUUUAUUUCAACUGAAAGUAUUCUUUUCUUUGACAAGAGGGUAUGUAUUCUGGACAAAUUCUGUAAUUAUAUGUUUCCAGUGAUAGCUGUUAGAUUAAAUGAUUGGUCCUAUCCAUGUGUAAUCAUGUAUUAUUUGGGAUGAGACUUGUAUUUUUAGUCAGUAUAAUUUUGUAAUGGAUUGAACAUAUUCCUGUAAUUUUGAACUGUGAAACACAUAGAAGUUAGUUAAUUUUGGUAGUAUUUGUGGCUUGUUGUGCUCACCCCAGAGGCAUCGCAGAAGCUUUCCCAUGUUUUGAACUGAUGUCAUCCUUGCUACGACAAUUCUUGAUCUUGGGCCACACCAGAUUCAUACGUUUUGUGAAUCG